This 267-nucleotide long non-coding RNA is filed under the name Elaeis guineensis (African oil palm). RNAcentral's name for it is "long non-coding RNA (EGUI_LNC048629)". The record is from RNAcentral. Lineage: Eukaryota; Viridiplantae; Streptophyta; Magnoliopsida; Arecales; Arecaceae.
UGCUCCAGACCCCAUCGCCUAUUUAAACCCGUCUCCCCUCUUCGGAGAUUUCACUUUGCAUGGGAGUUUCUUCAGUCCUUCCCUCUUGGCCUUAGGCAUCCUUCGAGUCGUCCUCAUCUCUGCAUACUUGCAUCCCUCAUAUCAGCCUAGGUUAGCCCCAGAACUUUCUCUGCUUCCGCGACCCCAUUCAUAGACUGUGUCAAUCAUCCUUCAUUGCAGAUAUGGGCGUGGAUGUAGCUCGGAUGUUGGCCCAGAAUCUCAAAGCCC